This 253-nucleotide ribosomal RNA is filed under the name uncultured bacterium. Its description in RNAcentral is "partial 16S ribosomal RNA". It matches the Rfam family "Bacterial small subunit ribosomal RNA", at positions 524 to 776 of the family's 1533-position model. The record is from RNAcentral.
UACAGAGACUGCGAGCGUUAUUCGGAUUCACUGGGCGUAAAGGGUGCGCAGGCGGCCAAGUGUGUGAGGCGUGAAAGCCCGGGGCUUAACCCCGGAAUUGCACCUCAAACUACAUGGCUAGAGCAUUGGAGAGGGUAGCGGAAUUCACGGUGUAGCAGUGAAAUGCGUAGAUAUCGUGAGGAACACCAGAGGCGAAGGCGGCUACCUGGACAAUUGCUGACGCUCAGGCACGAAAGCGUGGGGAGCAAACGGG